UCUCUCAUUUUGUGUUUUCUCCUUCAAUUAUUACCAUUCGUCAUGUUUUUACAGCCAUCUCUUUUCCUUCUCUUAAUCAACCACCAAUAUUACUCUCAAGAAUACCAAUCAAUCUAUUAUCAAACCCCAAUAGAUUCUUGUUCAUCUUUAAAAAUCAAGUAGACAAAAGCACAUCUAAAGGGAAACUUUAGUCCACUGGAUAAAUACGAAAACAAUUCUGACGGAUCUUCAUUAUGCGAUGAUGAACUCUAGUGAAUGGGGUAGAAAAUUCAAGAACCAUUGUGGCUAAUUAUAUCCAAGUGUUAAUGAAAAGAUGCAGUUAAGCUAGACUUAGCUUGUAUACGAUUUUUCAUUUGUAUUAACAUUUUAUUUGUAUCAGUGGAGAUUAACACAUGUGAAUGUAAAUUUGUAUUUUUGCCAAAUAAAGAUUUUUUUGAUUA
Long non-coding RNA from Erigeron canadensis, 440 nucleotides. RefSeq lists it as uncharacterized. The record is from RefSeq and is a predicted model, not a curated record. The transcript has 3 exons. Lineage: Eukaryota; Viridiplantae; Streptophyta; Magnoliopsida; Asterales; Asteraceae.